UUAAGCUUAUUACAAAUAUCUAGCUGAAGUCACUGGUAUAAAUUUAUAUUGGCAACAAAUAAAAAAUAAAAUAAGUUACUUGAAGAAUACUUAUUUUAAGACUAAAAGUCGGCGCCAGUUCUUAAUUUCUAUUUCUAUUUGCAUCGAUCUUGAAGAUAGAAAAACUCCCUCCAUAAGAUGUGUUUACUUUU
Molecule: long non-coding RNA, 191 nt
Organism: Teleopsis dalmanni
Lineage: Eukaryota; Metazoa; Arthropoda; Insecta; Diptera; Diopsidae
Exons: 2
Source: RefSeq, a predicted model, not a curated record